This 730-nucleotide ribosomal RNA is filed under the name uncultured bacterium. RNAcentral describes it as "bacterial SSU rRNA". It matches the Rfam family "Bacterial small subunit ribosomal RNA", at positions 771 to 1501 of the family's 1533-position model. The record is from RNAcentral.
AACAGGAUUAGAUACCCUGGUAGUCCACGCCGUAAACGAUGUCGACUUGGAGGUUGUUCCCUUGAGGAGUGGCUUCCGGAGCUAACGCGUUAAGUCGACCGCCUGGGGAGUACGGCCGCAAGGUUAAAACUCAAAUGAAUUGACGGGGGCCCGCACAAGCGGUGGAGCAUGUGGUUUAAUUCGAUGCAACGCGAAGAACCUUACCUACUCUUGACAUCCAGAGAACUUAGCAGAGAUGCUUUGGUGCCUUCGGGAACUCUGAGACAGGUGCUGCAUGGCUGUCGUCAGCUCGUGUUGUGAAAUGUUGGGUUAAGUCCCGCAACGAGCGCAACCCUUAUCCUUUGUUGCCAGCGGUUCGGCCGGGAACUCAAAGGAGACUGCCAGUGAUAAACUGGAGGAAGGUGGGGAUGACGUCAAGUCAUCAUGGCCCUUACGAGUAGGGCUACACGCGUGCUACAAUGGCGCAUACAAAGAGAAGCGACCUCGCGAGAGCAAGCGGACCUCAUAAAGUGCGUCGUAGUCCGGAUCGGAGUCUGCAACUCGACUCCGUGAAGUCGGAAUCGCUAGUAAUCGUAGAUCAGAAUGCUACGGUGAAUACGUUCCCGGGCCUUGUACACACCGCCCGUCACACCAUGGGAGUGGGUUGCAAAAGAAGUAGGUAGCUUAACCUUCGGGAGGGCGCUUACCACUUUGUGAUUCAUGACUGGGGUGAAGUCGUAACAAGGUAACC